GGGCCUGUAGCUUAGUCGGCAGAGCACCGCAUUCGCAUUGCGGAGACGGGAGUCCGAUUCUCCCCAGGUCCA
Molecule: transfer RNA, 72 nt
Filed under: Candidatus Gottesmanbacteria bacterium RIFCSPLOWO2_02_FULL_40_10
Lineage: Bacteria; Candidatus Gottesmaniibacteriota
Description: tRNA-Ala
Rfam family: tRNA
About the family: Transfer RNA (tRNA) molecules are approximately 80 nucleotides in length. Their secondary structure includes four short double-helical elements and three loops (D, anti-codon, and T loops). Further hydrogen bonds mediate the characteristic L-shaped molecular structure. tRNAs have two regions of fundamental functional importance: the anti-codon, which is responsible for specific mRNA codon recognition, and the 3' end, to which the tRNAs corresponding amino acid is attached (by aminoacyl-tRNA synthetases). tRNAs cope with the degeneracy of the genetic code in two manners: having more than one tRNA (with a specific anti-codon) for a particular amino acid; and 'wobble' base-pairing, i.e. permitting non-standard base-pairing at the 3rd anti-codon position.
Source: RNAcentral